GAAAAUUCUAAAUAUGUUAGGUCAAUGAGUUAGCUGAAUGUAUAAGGCAAGUCUGUCAAACUUUAGAAGUUUAGAAGUAGAAACAGCUUCUUCCCCACUGCAGUCAGCCUAUUGGACCUACCUGUCGUUAAGCUCCGCGUUUUAGCUGUGUUUAUAUUGAUUUGGCAAUGGUGUAAUGUAUAUUUUAUGUCCACAACAACUUUUCAGUGUUGUCAUUUGAGACCAGGUGUCACGGAUCGGCAGGGAGAGGACUCAAAUGCACAGCGCCAGGACACGACGUAGCCGGUGAAAAAUGAGGGUUUAUUCCCAAAAUCAAAGUCACAAAACAGAUAGUGGACAAUAACAAAACGAUGACUUACAGGGUCGGUAAGGUGCUGCAGGAACGUGAGAGUCAGAAAUCAAAAACAACGAUCUGGCAAAUCAUGAUAGUGACCGGUGGUGCUUAAAUGUCCGGGAAGUAAUGAUGAAUGAAAAACAGGUGCGUGAACUGAAAACCGGAAGUAAGGUUAGCGUGGGUGUGAUGGACUGGUAAACCGGAAACUAUCAAACUAAAACAGGACGCGGAAACUGGAACCCAAAACAUGAUGAUGAGACAAAACAACAAAGUGCCUUCAAAAUAAAACUAGAAACGAAAACCUGACAGUACCCCUCCCUCUAGGGCGCCUUCCACGGCGCCCACGGAAGCCCCCCCCCCGAACCAGGGCGGGCGGAGGGUGGACACAGGAGGAGGGACUGAAUCCCUCCCCUUCCAGGCAGACAAGCAGGGUGGGUGGAGGGAGGACCGGAGGAGGGUCAAAACAAGAGUCCACAGAACCAAAACCGAAAGUCCAUGACAGGGAGAACAGAGUCCAGGAGUUCCUCACGAGGGUGGUGGCAGGAGAGUCCACCACGACGGCUGGCGAGGUCCGGGAGAGCAGGGCUGAGCCCAGCCCCCUCCCCGACGGAGAUGCUCCGGGGGUCCCAGGGUCGCGGCGGACGACGACGGCAGAGGCUUCGCCAUCGUCGUGGCCGGCGGGGACUCACCCCAGGCGAACGGCCGUGGCGGUGGCGGAGUCGAGGCGGACGGCGCCGAAGGAGGCAGCGCCAUCCAAUCAGCAGGCGAAGCCGAGGGCGAGGCCACCAGUCCGGCAGCCGAGACCAGGACGAGGCAGGAACCGAUGCAGGUGCGGCCGGAGCCGAGCCGCCAGGAACCGAUGCAGGUGCGGCCGGAGCCGAGCCGCCAGGAACCGAUGCAGGUGCGGCCGGAGCCGAGCCGCCAGGAACCGAUGCAGGUGCGGCCGGAGCCGGGCCGCCAGGAACCGAUGCAGGUGCGGCCGGAGCCGAGCCGCCAGGAACAGAUGCAGGUGCGGCCGGAGCCGGGCCGCCAGGAACAGAUGCAGGUGCGGCCGGAGCCGGGCCGCCAGGAACAGAUGCAGGUGCGGCCGGAGCCGAGCCGCCAGGAACAGAUGCAGGUGCGGCCGGGGCCGAGCCGCCAGGGACCGAUGCCGGUGCAGCGGGAGCUGCGACGGGAACGACCCCCUCCUGGAGGUCCGCCGGGACUGCGACGGGCGCGACCCCCUCCUGGAGGUCGACAGGAACUACGACGGUCGCGACCCCUCCUGGAGGUCCGCCGGGACUGCGACGGGGCGCGACCCCCUCCUGGAGGUCCGCCGGGACUGCGACGGGCGCGACCCCCUCCUGGAGGUCCGCCGGGACUGCGACGGGCGCGACCCCCUCCUGGAGGUCCGCCGGGACUGCGACGGGCGCGACCCCCUCCUGGGGGUCGACAGGAACUACGACGGGCGCGACCCCCUCCUGGAGGUCCGCCGGGACUGCGACGGGCGCGACCCCCUCCUGGAGGUCCGCCGAGACUGCGACGGGCGCGACCCCCUCCUGGAGGUCCGCCGAGACUGCGACGGGCGCGACCCCCUCCUGGAGGUCCGCCGGGACUGCGACGGGCGCGACCCCCUCCUGGAGGUCCGCCGGGACUGCGACGGGCGCGACCCCCUCCUGGAGGUUCCGCCGGGACUGCGACGGGCGCGACCCCCUCCUGGAGGUCCGCCGGGACUGCGACGGGCGCGACCCCCUCCUGGAGGUCCGCCGGGACUGCGGCUGGCGCGACCCCCUCCUGGAGGUGCGCGGGAACUGCAGCUGGCGCGACCUCCUCCUGGAGGUGCGCGGGAACUGCAGCUGGCGCGACCUCCUCCUGGAGGGACAGGGGCUGGAACGGCCGCCACAUGGCCGACAGGAACGGCAUCUACUUGGCCGACAGGGACAGGAACUAGAACGGCCGCAACAUGGCCGACAGGAACGGCAUCUACUUGGCCGACAGGGACAGGAACCGGGACUAGAACGGCCGCAACAUGGCCGACAGGAACGGCCGCAACAUGGCCGACAGGGACAGGAACGGCGUCUACUUGGCCGACAGGGACAGGAACAGGAACUAGAACGGCCUCAACAUGGCCGACAGGAACGGCCGCGACAUGGCCGACAGGAACUGGAACGGCAUCUACUCUGGAGCUGGCAUGGCUACUUGCCGCUGCCAAGCUCGACGGAGCAGACGUCGGGCCUGAUCGGGUGUGCAUAGCACCUGUACGACAGGUGGUGCCCCCUGGUUGGGACACGACCUGCGCGUGACUGAACUGAACUGGGACAGGAACGUGACUGGACUGUACUGGAACCUGGACAGGAACGUGACUCGACUGUACUGGAACCUGGACAGGAACGUGACUCGACUGAACUGGGGCCGGAACAGGACUCGACUGAACUGGGGCCGGAACAGGACUCGACUGAACUGGGGCCGGAACAGGACUCGACUGAACUGGGCUCGACUGGACUGGGCUCGACUGGACUGGGCUCGACUGGACUGGGCUCGACUGGACUGGGCUCGGCUGGACUGGGCUCGGCUGGACUGGGCUCGGCUGGACUGGGCUCGGCUGGCCUGGAGACUGAACAGCGCGCGGCUGGCCUGGAGACUGAACAGCGCGCGGCUGGCCUGGAGACUGAACAGCGCGCGGCUGGCCUGGAGACUGAACAGCGCGCGGCUGGCCUGGAGACUGAACAGCGCGCGGCUGGCCUGGAGACUGAACAGCGCGCGGCUGGCCUGGAGACUGAACAGCGCGCGGCUGGCCUGGAGACUGAACAGCGCGCGGCUGGCCUGGAGACUGAACAGCGCGCGGCUGGCCUGGAGACUGAACAGCGCGCGGCUGGCCUGGAGACUGAACAGAACGUGACUGGGCGGAGACCUGAGCAUGGCAAGGCUGAGCUGGAACCUGAACGAGGGGCGACUGAACUACGACUGGAGUCUGAACAGGACAUGGCUGCACUAGGGCUGGAGACUGAGCGUGGCUUGACUGACCUGACUGAGAGGUGGGACAUGAAGCGGCUGCUGGCUGCAGGCCCGGGAGUUGCAGGACCUCUCGCAGGACAGGUUCCCUCAGGACGAGAGCGGCUGCUUCCUCGAACAGUUGUUCUCUCGUGCCCUGGUCUGCUGCCGAAUCGGCGGUGUUCAUGAGGUGGGCGAAGAGAAACGCAACUGGAGGAGAGCAGAGGAGGUGGACCCGUCGGGCGACGCUGUCUGAGAUGCCUGCUAUCAGAGGGACACAGUCAGUCGGAGAAUCGAGGGGAUCCCCCGCGGAAGGGGAGAGCUGCUCGGGCACUGCGACCGAGGUCUCUGGGCCCUGAACCUCAGACCCGUGCCCUCGCCGACGUCGUCUGGGGCGCCUGCGGCUGACCGUCGCCUGAGGCGCUGAGAGCGGCAGGGGCUGGGUCUCUGUAGUGGGGUCCGUGUGGUGAACCAAACCGGCGGCGUCUAGAGCUUGGGUUGUAGCCGCAGGCGCGGCGACAGGAACGGGAACCGCCGGCGCGGCGACAGGAACGGGAACCGCCGGAGCGGCGACAGGAACGGGAACCGCCGGAGCGGCGACAGGAACGGAAACCGCCGGAGCGGCGUCAGGAACGGAAACCGCCGGAGCGGCGUCAGGAACGGGAACCGCCGGAGCGGCGUCAGGAACGGGAACCGUCGGAGCGGCGACAGAGGCGCGGCCAGGCGAUACGCGCAGAGCGCGUGUCAAGUCCCUCCGCGUUAGUCGGAGCCCCUCGAAAUACGCUUGCACCCCGGGGUACUCACGCCACCAGUAUUCGUCCUCCAGUAUCUCGAUGGCUAGUUCUACCACGGAGAGCCGAACCUGGGGGCUGGGUGCUUCUGCAUAUUUCCUGGCUAAGCCCUGGAGAUCGCCACGGAUGUCCUCCGGUAGAUUAAGGAAAACGAAAUCCAUUGCUCCGGCGAGCGACUUGUACACGGAGCCAAACAGAGAGGGGAAAAAGAAGAGACGGCGGCGGCUGACCGGGGUGAAGGCUGGGCGCUGGCUGGGUCCAAGUCUGGCCAGAUCGUUCUGUCACGGAUCGGCAGGGAGAGGACUCAAAUGCACAGCGCCAGGACACGACGUAGCCGGUGAAAAAUGAGGGUUUAUUCCCAAAAUCAAAGUCACAAAACAGAUAGUGGACAAUAACAAAACGAUGACUUACAGGGUCGGUAAGGUGCUGCAGGAACGUGAGAGUCAGAAAUCAAAAACAACGAUCUGGCAAAUCAUGAUAGUGACCGGUGGUGCUUAAAUGUCCGGGAAGUAAUGAUGAAUGAAAAACAGGUGCGUGAACUGAAAACCGGAAGUAAGGUUAGCGUGGGUGUGAUGGACUGGUAAACCGGAAACUAUCAAACUAAAACAGGACGCGGAAACUGGAACCCAAAACAUGAUGAUGAGACAAAACAACAAAGUGCCUUCAAAAUAAAA
Molecule: long non-coding RNA, 4769 nt
Filed under: Betta splendens (Siamese fighting fish)
Lineage: Eukaryota; Metazoa; Chordata; Actinopteri; Anabantiformes; Osphronemidae
Description: lncRNA (ENSBSLG00000002768.1)
Source: RNAcentral